Myotis myotis is the source of this 102-nucleotide small nuclear RNA. The record is from RefSeq and is a predicted model, not a curated record. Lineage: Eukaryota; Metazoa; Chordata; Mammalia; Chiroptera; Vespertilionidae.
GUGCUGGCUUGGGCAACACAUGUGCUAAAAUUGGAAGGAUACCGAGAAAAUUAGCAUGGCCCCUGUGCAAGGAUGACAAGUAAAUUCAAGAAGUAUUUUUUU